This 97-nucleotide unclassified non-coding RNA is filed under the name Escherichia coli. Its description in RNAcentral is "TPP". The record is from RNAcentral. Lineage: Bacteria; Pseudomonadati; Pseudomonadota; Gammaproteobacteria; Enterobacterales; Enterobacteriaceae.
CCAAACGACUCGGGGUGCCCUUCUGCGUGAAGGCUGAGAAAUACCCGUAUCACCUGAUCUGGAUAAUGCCAGCGUAGUCUGGCCGUUAUCCAUUGAA